RNAcentral lists this ribosomal RNA (427 nucleotides) under uncultured eukaryote. RNAcentral's name for it is "SSU rRNA". It matches the Rfam family "Eukaryotic small subunit ribosomal RNA", at positions 592 to 1018 of the family's 1831-position model. The record is from RNAcentral.
CAAUAGCGUAUAUUAAAGUUGUUGCGUUAAAAGAACUCGUAGUUGGAGUUUCUUGCCGUGAGGCAGGCCGGUCCCGCACGUUAGUGCGUGUAUCUGGUUUGGUUUGGGCAUCCUCUUGGGGAUCGUUGCUGUGCUUAGUUGCAUGGUGCGGAAUUCAAGACGUUUACUUUGAGGAAAUUAGAGUGGUUACGGCAAGCUAUCGCUUUGAAUACAUUAGCAUGGAAUAAUAAUAUAGGGCGUAAGUUCUAUCUUGUUGGUUUCUAGAACAUACGCAAUGAUUAAUAGGGACAAUUGGGGGCAUUCGUAUUAACGCGUCAGAGGUGGAAUUCUUAGAUUGCGUUACGACGAACUACUGCGAAAGCAUUUGCCAAGGAUGUUUCAUUGAUCAAGAACGAAAGUAUGGGGAUCGAAGAUGAUUAGAUACCAU